CUGUUAGCUCAGUUGGUAGAGCAACUGACUCUUAAUCAGUGGGUCUAGGGUUCGAAUCCC
This 60-nucleotide transfer RNA is filed under the name bovine gut metagenome. It matches the Rfam family "tRNA", at positions 8 to 61 of the family's 71-position model. From Rfam's summary of the family: Transfer RNA (tRNA) molecules are approximately 80 nucleotides in length. The record is from RNAcentral.